GAAAUAUUCUGUUUGUGAAUAUUCAGAACCUGCCCACAAGAGGCUAACUUAAGGUAAAAUAUUAUCACCCACUAAUAUGAGACUAUGAUUGUAAAUAUGCAUUCUGACUUAAUGUUAACAUCUCCAUAAUCCCUGCAUAACAGGUGAUUUAUCGGGAAUGCCACCACUAAAUUAUGGCUUGGUGGCAUAUUACAUUGAUCUGAGUGGCACAAUUAACAGGCGAGUGACAAUAUAAACUGUGAGACCAGCGCAGUUGGGGUAAGAACCUCGUAGACAUUUCCAUACAGGCAAUCAUAUCACAAUG
Molecule: non-coding RNA, 304 nt
Organism: Pelobates cultripes (western spadefoot toad)
Lineage: Eukaryota; Metazoa; Chordata; Amphibia; Anura; Pelobatidae
Source: the annotation of a GenBank genome assembly